GCUGGUGUGGUGGUGCACGCCUGUAGUCCCAGCUACUUGGGAGGUUGAGAUAGGAGGAUCCCUUGAGCCCAGGAGUCCUGGGCCAGCCUGGGCAACACAGUGGGACCCUGUCUCUU
This 116-nucleotide non-coding RNA is filed under the name Homo sapiens (human). The record is from Rfam by way of RNAcentral. Lineage: Eukaryota; Metazoa; Chordata; Mammalia; Primates; Hominidae.